MicroRNA precursor from Beta vulgaris subsp. vulgaris (sugar beet), 133 nucleotides. The record is from Rfam. Lineage: Eukaryota; Viridiplantae; Streptophyta; Magnoliopsida; Caryophyllales; Amaranthaceae.
AGUCUUAUUUGGUAGCCAAGGAUGACUUGCCUGAGUCUAAUAUAAAUUAUAGAUUACAAUGUCAUUGCAAUCUAUAUAUAUAUGUACUCUAAAAGGCACCAAGCAAGUCAUCUAUGGCUUGCUGAUAAACUCU